GUUGAAUGCACAUGAUGUACCUUUACCUAUCAGGACAGAAAGCUUUAAUCCUUUCUUGUAAAGUGACAUAGCUGAUUUUAAAAAACUUUUGCCUAAAAAAAAAUUGUGAUUACUGGUUUGGGCCUAAAUCUACCAUAUUACUAAAUGCUUUUUGACUGUCAUAUCUGUUUUAUUUCCUUGUUUCCUUCUGGGUUAUCAUUUAUCAGUUUAGUUUUCCUUUUGCUGGCUGGAAAGGCACAUCGUCCCCACACUUACAUGCUCUUCCUGCAUGUCAAGUUACGGUGCACGGGGAUCUCUACCUGCUCCCAGUUAACACAAGACCCUUCUACUCCAUUCACCCCACUCCCAACUGGCAUACCACUGAAGUCUUGAACUUUAGUUCCCUCUGUAUUUCUAGCUCCAGAGGACAUUUUCAGGGUUUUACACAGCCAUUAUUCAUUUAGGUUGAUCCAUGCCACUUUUUUUUUUUAACUAUAUAUUCCUUUGUGCCUCAGUGUUAUUUAAACACAACCUGGUUAUGCUCCUAUGCACGCUGUGGUAGGAACUACUGGCCUGGGCUUCAGUCUGAGUUUCCCUGCCCAUGGCCUGGCUCAUCCCUUAGCACACCUUUCCGUCUACUCUGGAUGAGUGUCUGACUGCAUGAGUCAGACCUCUCCGAGACUCCUCCUGCUCAAUGGGUUAGGUUUAUGAACUCCUUGUCUGUUCCCUGCCUCCUUCUAAACCCCCACCCUCACUCACAUCCUGCCCCCCACGUUUCCCUGAUCCUCUGUUCACACUGAGCUGCUUCCCUGGGUGCCCAGGUCACCUUCUUCCCCUCCUACGUCUGAAGCUGCUUCAGUCCUUCAAGGCCAGUCACCUCGGUGCUUUCCUGUGCUCCCUGGGCAGGAGCCUUUCUUCAAGAGGCUGCUCCACAGAGGCCUCAUCAGUUUGUGCCUGUAUUUCCUGGCCAAAUAGGAAAACAGGACUUAGAACAAUUCAUCUUCCAGAUGGGGGUAGUAAUCUUCCAUGUGAUGCUUGGAACCUGGAAUCAGAAUCUGUGUGAAAGAACUUAAAAAUUCAGUUCUUGGUCAGAAGAUUAGUGGUUGGCAGUCAAAGACAAUUAUGUUUCAAAUGCUCUAUAAAAAAAAUAAUAAAACAGGUCUAGCUUUAUUUUAUUCCCUGAAAUUUAUUGCUUCAAGCCAGUGGAUAAUACCUCACUCUACAACCUUGGAGAACUAAUAUGCUUUGUGAGAAGCUGAGCUUCAUCCAGGCAGACCUCACUGUGUUGUGCAGGUGUGUGUUCUUUACACACUGAAGGCAUGUGGCAGCCCUUCAUCAAGCAGGUGUGUCAGUGCCAUUUUCCCACAGCAUUUGCUCACUUUGUGUCUCUGUCACGUUUUGGUAAUUCUCACAGUGUUUCAAACUUCUUCAUUAUUAUAUUUGUUACGGUGAUCUGUGAUCAGCGAUCUUAAUGUUACUACCACACUUGCUGAGGGCUCGGGAUGGUUAGCAUUUUUUAGCAAUUGAGUAUUAACUAAGGUAUGUAUAUUGGUUUUCUUAGAUAUAAGCUAUUGCACACUUCACAAGAAUACUGCACAGUAUAAAUAUAACUUUUGCAUGCACUCCAAAAACAGUUCAUGUGACUUACUUUAUUUCAAUACUCACUAUAUGGGAUGGGUGGUCUGGAUCUGAGCCUGCACUGUCUCUGAGGUCUGCCUGUACUGUAGUUGUUUAAACAAUAUUUUUUCUUUGCCAUGCAACUCUUCUAAAGUAGAAUCUUACAGGGAGUCGCAGAUAGAUGAAGCAAAUACAGGACUCGCACUGUGGGCGUGCACAUGUGGUGAGCCUCCUUCACAGCACAGUCACCAGCAGCACAAGGCGCCAGCCCUUCUGUUCAGCUCAGGGUCUGAGUCAUUCACCUUCUUGAAAUCUGAACUAAAUCAAACACCGUUGAAGAUGUGUGUCACAGUCAGCUUUGUAUCUGUGAUUCAGCUGAGUGUGGACGGCGCAGUCUUGUGGACUUACAGGUACUGAAAUCCUGAGAUUUCUACCCUGUGUUCUCCCUUCUACUUAAUUCCCUGAGUCGGAUGAGGACUUGGAGACCUCCAAGAGCAAGAAGCCUUCCAGUGAUUCAAGCAGCAUAGAAAGCGUGAUAAUAAAUCAUUAUCAAGUGGUCUUUCACGGUGUGGGAGAUUCUCCCAUCAUCCUGGACAGAUAAAGAGUGUGAAAACCUGACUGACAUUUGACUGCUGAGGCAUCUGUUUCAGAGGUCCAUUAGAACAAACAGCCAGCACCUGAGGACACAGCUGCUGGCUGC
Odocoileus virginianus texanus is the source of this 2296-nucleotide long non-coding RNA. RefSeq lists it as uncharacterized. The record is from RefSeq and is a predicted model, not a curated record. NCBI's taxonomy places the organism in Eukaryota, Metazoa, Chordata, Mammalia, Artiodactyla, Cervidae.